RNAcentral lists this non-coding RNA (173 nucleotides) under human gut metagenome. Its description in RNAcentral is "malK-I RNA". It matches the Rfam family "malK-I RNA". The record is from RNAcentral.
GUCCCCGGCUACUCCAUUUCCAUAGCGGCGGAGCGAUCGUCAAAAAGGAGGAGAACCUACCCGCCAAGCCGGCGGUGCGGCAGUGUGGAGACCUGUCGUAAAGCGUCGGGAGUUUUGCUCUCCCGGCUGCGAGGAUCCUGAGCGGAGGCGCAGGGUCUACGGCUUUGAGUAUG